ACGAACGCUGGCGGCAGGCUUAACACCUGCAAGUCGAGCGCCCCGCAAGGGGAGCGGCCGACGGGUGAGUAACGCGUGGGAACGUACCUUUUGGUUCGGAACAACUCCGGGAAACUGGAGCUAAUACCGGAUAAGCCCUAACGGGGAAAGAUUUAUCGCCGAAAGAUCGGCCCGCGUCUGAUUAGCUAGUUGGUGAGGUAACGGCUCACCAAGGCGACGAUCAGUAGCUGGUCUGAGAGGAUGAUCAGCCACACUGGGACUGAGACACGGCCCAGACUCCUACGGGAGGCAGCAGUGGGGAAUAUUGGACAAUGGGCGCAAGCCUGAUCCAGCCAUGCCGCGUGAGUGAUGAAGGCCUUAGGGUUGUAAAGCUCUUUUGUCCGGGAAGAUAAUGACUGUACCGGAAGAAUAAGCCCCGGCUAACUUCGUG
Molecule: ribosomal RNA, 430 nt
Filed under: uncultured bacterium
Lineage: Bacteria
Description: partial 16S ribosomal RNA
Rfam family: Bacterial small subunit ribosomal RNA
Source: RNAcentral